CACCUCUUGUUACACAAAAUAUAAGAGGCCCCGCCUGCCCUGUGACAAUAAGUUUAACGGCCGCGGUAUUUUAACCGUGCGAAGGUAGCGUAAUCACUUGUCUUUUAAAUGGAGACCAGUAUGAAUGGCAUCACGAGGGCUUAACUGUCUCCCCUCUCCAGUCAAUGAAAUUGACCUUCCCGUGCAGAGGCGGGAAUAUUAAUAUAAGACGAGAAGACCCUGUGGAGCUUUAGACCUAAAAUAAACCACGUCUAGUAUACUGAAAUACCAGCAAAAGCCUAGUGAUUACAUAUUGAAGUGUCUUUGGUUGGGGCGACCGCGGGGUAAAACACAACCCCCUUGUGGACUGGGGAUAUUAUCCCUAAUACUCAGAGCCUCUACUCCAAGUAACAGAAAUUCUGACUUUCUGAUCCGGUAUUACCGAUCAACGAACCGAGUUACCCCAGGGAUAACAGCGCAAUCCCCUCUCAGAGCCCUUAUCGACGAGGGGGUUUACGACCUCGAUGUUGGAUCAGGACAUCCUAAUGGUGCAGCCGCUAUUAAGGGUUCGUUUGUUCAACGAUUAAAGUCCU
This 572-nucleotide ribosomal RNA is filed under the name Lepidion lepidion (Mediterranean codling). RNAcentral's name for it is "partial 16S ribosomal RNA". It matches the Rfam family "Bacterial large subunit ribosomal RNA", at positions 1816 to 2597 of the family's 2925-position model. The record is from RNAcentral. Lineage: Eukaryota; Metazoa; Chordata; Actinopteri; Gadiformes; Moridae.